This 465-nucleotide ribosomal RNA is filed under the name uncultured bacterium. Its description in RNAcentral is "bacterial SSU rRNA". It matches the Rfam family "Bacterial small subunit ribosomal RNA", at positions 338 to 795 of the family's 1533-position model. The record is from RNAcentral.
CCUACGGGGUGCACCAGUGGGGAAUAUUGCACAAUGGGCGCAAGCCUGAUGCAGCCAUGCCGCGUGUAUGAAGAAGGCCUUAGGGUUGUAAAGUACUUUCAGUUGGGAGGAAGGCGUUGAUGCUAAUAUCAUCAACGAUUGACGUUACCAACAGAAGAAGCACCGGCUAACUCCGUGCCAGCAGCCGCGGUAAUACGGAGGGUGCAAGCGUUAAUCGGAAUUACUGGGCGUAAAGCGCACGCAGGCGGUCUGUCAAGUCGGAUGUGAAAUCCCCGGGCUCAACCUGGGAACUGCAUUCGAAACUGGCAGGCUAGAGUCUUGUAGAGGGGGGUAGAAUUCCAGGUGUAGCGGUGAAAUGCGUAGAGAUCUGGAGGAAUACCGGUGGCGAAGGCGGCCCCCUGGACAAAGACUGACGCUCAGGUGCGAAAGCGUGGGGAGCAAACAGGAUUAGAUACCCUCGUAGUC